GCCCAGAGGCUCUUCACUGACGCAGCCUUCAUCCACCUUACCAUCAUCAUCCUCAUCAUCCCCGCUGAGGUCUUGUACCUCGACCUCACCAGCGGGAUGGCAUUUCCCUUAGGAUUUGAGGACUACGCAAGCUUCUUCAGCAAAUAGCAGCACAUUGAAGGACCUCAGGAUAAAAAGGAUUGCAACAGUAACCGUUACUACCAAAGUAUGCAGAAGAGCAUCGCUAAAGCGUGAAGCAGAUGGGCUACAGCAGCAGAUGACCACACCGGAUACCACUCCUCUCAACGAGGCCACAAUUCACACAGGCUCUCCUAAAGCAUAAUAAUCAUAAUAAUUUGGACCAAAAUCUCUGAGGAAUGUUUUCAGCACCUUGUUGAAUCUGAUGUCGUGUUCCACGUACUUUGGAACUUGGAUGUUAGAAGUCGGGAAUGAUGCCACACCCAAGUUAGUGCUUUCCUGAGAAGGCCAAUAAAAACUGCAUUUGUUUAGAUUCUUAGUAAUAAAUCAUAAUGUUAAAUUGUUUGCGCUUAAAAACAUUGAUGGAUAGAGCCUGAUCCCUGCUCUACGUCUGGAAUGUUUAAUGAGUCAAAACCCACAACAGUUGCAGUAAAGAUUAAAAGUUUAUAAUUUUACUAUU
Long non-coding RNA from Oreochromis aureus, 637 nucleotides. RefSeq lists it as uncharacterized. Lineage: Eukaryota; Metazoa; Chordata; Actinopteri; Cichliformes; Cichlidae. The transcript is spliced from 2 exons. The record is from RefSeq and is a predicted model, not a curated record.